This 254-nucleotide ribosomal RNA is filed under the name uncultured bacterium. RNAcentral describes it as "partial 16S ribosomal RNA". It matches the Rfam family "Bacterial small subunit ribosomal RNA", at positions 524 to 776 of the family's 1533-position model. The record is from RNAcentral.
UACGUAGGGGGCAAGCGUUGUCCGGAAUCAUUGGGCGUAAAGCGCGUGUAGGCGGUUCGGUAAGUCGGAUGUGAAACCUCCAGGCUCAACCUGGAGACGCCAUCUGAUACUGCCGUGGCUUGAGUCCGGUAGAGGAGCAGGGAAUUCCUGGUGUAGCGGUGAAAUGCGCAGAUAUCAGGAGGAACACCAGCGGCGAAGGCGCUGCUCUGGGCCGGUACUGACGCUGAGGAGCGAAAGCGUGGGGAGCGAACAGG